RNAcentral lists this ribosomal RNA (484 nucleotides) under uncultured bacterium. RNAcentral describes it as "partial 16S ribosomal RNA". It matches the Rfam family "Bacterial small subunit ribosomal RNA", at positions 28 to 523 of the family's 1533-position model. The record is from RNAcentral.
GACGAACGCUGGCGGCGUGCUUAACACAUGCAAGUCGAACGAUGAAGCCGGAGCUUGCUCUGGUGAAUUAGUGGCGAACGGGUGAGUAACACGUGAGUAACCUGCCCUUGACUCUGGGAUAACUGCGGGAAACUGUAGCUAAUACCGGAUACGACCCUCGGAGGCAUCUCCUGGGGGUGGAAAGAAUUUCGGUCAAGGAUGGACUCGCGGCCUAUCAGCUAGAUGGGGAGGUAAAGGCCCACCAAGGCGACGACGGGUAGCCGGCCUGAGAGGGUGACCGGCCACACUGGGACUGAGACACGGCCCAGACUCCUACGGGAGGCAGCAGUGGGGAAUAUUGCACAAUGGGCGCAAGCCUGAUGCAGCAACGCCGCGUGAGGGAUGACGGCCUUCGGGUUGUAAACCUCUUUUAGCAGGGAAGAAGCGAAAGUGACGGUACCUGCAGAAAAAGCACCGGCUAACUACGUGCCAGCAGCCGCCGUAA